UCCAGAGCUGGUCGCACAAGGGAGCCUCUUGGGGAGCUUGGUCCCUUGCCCCUUCGUGAGCUGCCUGAUGUGUGGAGAAAAGGACGGUGAGAGGGGAAAGAAUUGAGGUCUAGGGGCUGGACCAAGUCUAUGGCUUCCUCUGGGGUGGUUUGGGGGUUCCUCCUUUUCUCGCUGUUGGGGAUGUAGCCACGCCUUCUAUUCUGGGUCCCUUAAGGAGGCUGGGCAAGAAAAAAACACACAGAAGGGGCCCUAGCACAUUCAAAGCUGGGGUGUUGCAGGAAGGGAGAUUCUAGGAGCUGUUGGGGUUCAGGACAGUGUUCCUAUCUGUCAAUCUGCACAUGAAAAAGAGUAGGGAUUGUGUUUUUCCAAAGGUUAAGGUUUGUGACAGUCAGCCUUCGCUUUUGCCAGCGGUCUCUCUCUCUCUCUCUCUCUCUCUCUCUCUCUCUCUCUCUCUCUCUCUCUCUCUCUCUCUCUCUCUCUCUCUCUCUCUCUCUCUCUCUCUUUCCUGGAGACCCUUCACCUCAUUUGACAGGCUGGGAGACCUAGGCCUUGGUCAGAGGUGGAGGGGGCUUUUUUUCACUUGGGCCAAGGCAGGGCCAAGGCGAAGCUCACCACCCGGCGCCCCUCGAUCCUCCUGAGAGCAAGGAUCGUGCUUGUCUGUCCCGCGCGCCCGCUGGGAUGUUCCGCCAGUGGUCGGUGCAGUCAGGACCGGCCCCCCGACGGCCUGGAUCCCUUGCGGCAGCUGAGGAGCUGUGGGAGGAAGAAGUGGAGCGGCUGUGCGCCUCCCGGGAGCCGGUACGGAUGCUGCCCUACGCCAUGGCCGACAGGCGCUUCAUCCGGGAACUGCGGGAGCCCGAGGGGGUAAAGACCUCCUGCCGGCAGCGGUGGUGUCGCAGAGGGCAGGUGGCCCGACAGUACCUCAGGGAGGCUGCGCAGAAGCUGGCCCAUGGCUUCGGGCUUUGGGAGGGAGCGCUCUACGAGAUUGGGGGCCUCUUCGGGACCGGGAUCCAGUCAUACUUCACUUUCCUUCGCUUCCUGCUGCUGCUCAACCUGCUGACCCUGCUGAUGACCACCAGUUUCAUCCUGCUGCCCCUGGUCUGGCUGCGCCACCCUGAGCGAGGCCCUGCCUUGAAACUGACAGGCCUCCAGUGCUCUGGCAGCCACCUGUCCCAGAGCGGCAUUCCGAAGUUCCACAACCCACUUUGGAAUAUUUUAACGGGCAGGGCCUUCAACAACACCUAUCUCUUCUAUGGUGCCUACCGGGCAGAGCCAGAACACAGCUCAGCAUACAGCAUCCGCCUGGCCUACCUCCUCACCCCAAUGGCGUGCCUGCUCCUCUGCUUCUGCGGGACACUGCAGCGGAUGGUACAGGGACUGCCACAGCAGCCACUCCUGGGCCAGGGCUACAGGGCGCCCCUCAGCGCCAAAGUCUUCUCGUCCUGGGACUUCUGCAUCCGGGUGUGGGAAGCUGCCACCAUCAAGAAACAUGAAAUCAGCAAUGAACUGAAGGUGGAGCUGGAAGAGGGCCGCCGCCUGGAGCUGGCUCAACAGCAGACCCGCACCCAGAAGGCCUGUCACCUGCUCUCCUACCUAAGGACCAAUGUCCUCAUUGCACUCCUAGUGGUUGGAGCCAUCAGCGCCAUCUUCUGGGCCACCAAGUACUCACAGGACAACAAGGAGGAGUCCCUUUUCCUGGUGCUGCAGUACCUGCCCCCUGGAAUCAUUGCCCUGGUCAACUUCCUGGGUCCCCAACUGUUCACGGUCCUGAUCCAGCUGGAGAACUUCCCUCCCAGCACUGAGGUCAACCUCACCCUAAUCUGGUGCGUGGUGCUGAAGCUGGCCAGCCUGGGGAUGUUCUCCUUCUCGCUGGGUCAGACUGUGCUGUGCAUAGGCAGAAACAAGACCAGCUGCGAGACCUACGGCUACAACGCCUGCGAAUACCAGUGCUGGGAGAACUCGGUGGGCGAAGAGUUAUAUAAAUUAAUCAUCUUCAACUUCCUGCUCACCGUGGCCUUCGCCUUCCUGGUCAGCCUGCCUCGGAGGCUGUUAGUGGAGCGCUUCUCAGGCUGGUUCUGGACUUGGCUGGACCGGGAGGAGUUCCUGGUGCCCAAGAAUGUGCUGGACAUCGUGGCUGCGCAGACUGUCACCUGGAUGGGCCUCUUCUACUGCCCCCUGCUGCCGCUCCUCAACAGUAUCUUCCUCUUUCUCACCUUCUACAUCAAGAAGUACACCCUCCUGAGGAACUCCAGGGCGUCCCCAAGGCUGUUCCGAGCCUCCAGCUCUACCUUCUUCUUCCAACUGGUCUUGCUCCUGGGCUUGCUCUUGGCUGUGGUCCCUCUGGCCUACGUGAUCAGCAGCACCCACUCCUCCUGGGACUGUGGCCUCUUCACCAACUAUUCAGCCCCCUGGCAGGUGGUGCCAGAGCUGGUGACCCUCCAGCUCCCACUUCCUGGCCAGCGUGCCCUCCGGUACCUCAGCUCCCACGCCUUCAGCUUCCCUCUCCUCGUUCUGCUCAGGAGCCCCUGGCCAAGCAGCCUCACCAUGCUGGAGCUGUUACAGCGAGGGAGGAAGGGGAGUCUUCAGAUAACACAGCGUGCACAGAGCUUUGAGAUUGAGAGGGUAGAUCCGGUGUGGUGGCGCACAUCGGCGAUCCCAGCACUUGGGAGGCUGAGGCAGGAGGAUGGCUGUGAAUUUGAGGACACCCUGCUUACAGACCUCGUCCUGACCGUGUGUGUUUCCCAGUCCCGGGCGAACGCCAGAGCCAUCCAAGGACUGCGGAAGCAGCUGGUGUGGCAGGUCCAGGAGAAGUGGCACCUGGUGGACGACUUGUCGCGGCUGCUGCCCGAGCUAAGCCCGGAGCCCGAGUCCCCUCGCUCUCGAGCUUCACGUCCGCGGUCCUUCUGCCCCGGAUUCCCGUGCCCAGGUUCACCCGGCCCCAGGACACCCCGGCUGGGACCCUCCACCAGGCUGAGUUCCUCGAGCCCCGGAGCCCCCAGUGUCUCGGUUCCUGUCUCCAGAUUUCACUUCCCUAGCCGCACAGAGAUGUAGCACCGAUCGCCCCACAGCCCACCCCACCCCCAGCUCUGCUGCAGCUUCCUCCGGUGCCUCCACUCCCAUCCCUUACCCAAGGAUCCAUAGUCUCAGGAGCCACUGCCUACAGCUGGCCCCAGGCUUCAUCCUCAGAAGAAUUCAAAUUUCUUGGGAAGGGGUUCUCAGAAGUGUUUGUAUACCUCUCUCCAUGACGCUGCAAGCCCUGGUCUGGAACAGGCUUCCGGGCACUGAGGGCUCUUCGGUGCCCCCCACAUUGUACCACCCACCUGUGCUCAGCAAGUGGCCAGGCCGGAACUUGAGCCAGAUACAUGGCCUCCGAGACACACUAAAGUGGAAUAAGGUCUGGGUCACGCCUGAUCCUGAGAGUGACUUGCUGAAGUUGAGUGACAUCUGGGUCCCUUGGGGAAAACAAGCAGCACAGAGUUCACAGCCACACCUCUGCC
Arvicola amphibius (Eurasian water vole) is the source of this 3494-nucleotide RNA transcript. It is a transcript of the gene named transmembrane channel like 8, with no coding region annotated. The record is from RefSeq and is a predicted model, not a curated record. The transcript has 17 exons. Lineage: Eukaryota; Metazoa; Chordata; Mammalia; Rodentia; Cricetidae.